This 738-nucleotide long non-coding RNA is filed under the name Triticum aestivum (bread wheat). RNAcentral describes it as "long non-coding RNA (TAES_LNC014299)". Lineage: Eukaryota; Viridiplantae; Streptophyta; Magnoliopsida; Poales; Poaceae. The record is from RNAcentral.
UAACUGCUUUUCUGCACAUAGUAUGUGGACAUGGUGAGAUGAAUAGAUGGCUGAAGCAUCAACCGGAAGAGAUCCUUGACCAAGGAAGAAAAGCUUCAAUCAAGAAAGAACCAUCCGGUUAGCAAGAACGACAAAAAUAACGAAGAACAAGAGAAAACAUACAAGGACAAUCUCUUCGAUUUAGUGAUGCAAAGAGCAAAAAGGUACCAUACGUACUUCAGUUUUUCUUGCACUGGAUCAAACGAUCUGCAACAUCGCUAGCGGCUCCCGCGUCCAGGCGCCUCGGCUGCUCAUCCACGGGAUGCAACGGCCAGAGCGGAUGAAUGGCUGGGGCUGGAAGAGGCACAGCGGCAACGCGACGGCAGCGCCCUCAGGCGCACGCGCAUGGCGCAGCGCGCCCUCAUCCGCGGCUUCCUCCGUCACAAGGCAAAAGGGCGGCGUCCAUCCAACCGCGACGACGCUCCCCAGCGACUCUCCCUCACCUGAGGGCUGAGGCAUACUUCUCCGGCGGCAGCGGUUAAUCCCUGACCGCACAAGAGAAAUUGGGGAUUCUUAUCCUCUCGGCCAUCUUGCAUUUGAAUCCCAGUGGACGUAUUUAUUUACAUAUAAGUCCCUGGGCUUCUCUAGUCAGGCUAAGUUCAGUCUUUAACUCUCUAUUAGUGUGCUUGAUACUCCAUUCUACGCCCAUAAUUUAAGUAUGAAGCAUGCAGGCCUUCACAUAUUGCAAAAGUAUUUCCA